CCUACGGGUGGCAGCAGUGAGGAAUAUUUGUCAAUGGGCUCGAGCCUGAACCAUCCAAGUAGCGUGAAGGAUGACUGCCCUACGGGUUGUAAACUUCUUUUAUAAAGGAAUAAAGUGAGUCACGUGUGCCUUUUUGUAUGUACUUUAUGAAUAAGGAUCGGCUAACUCCGUGCCAGCAGCCGCGGUAAUACGGAGGAUCCGAGCGUUAUCCGGAUUUAUUUGGUUUAAAGGAAGCGUAGAUGGGUUGUUAAGUCAGUUGGGAAAUUUUGCGGCUCAACCGUAAAAUUGCAAUUGAUACUGGCAGUCAUGAGUACAGUUGAGGUAGGAGGAAUUCGUGGUGUAGCGGUGAAAUGCUUAGAUAUCACGAAGAACUCCGAUUGCGAAGGCAGCUUACUAAACUGCCACUGACAUUGAUGCGCGAAAGUGUGGGUAUCAAACAGGAUUAGAUACCCCAGUAGUC
Molecule: ribosomal RNA, 460 nt
Filed under: uncultured bacterium
Lineage: Bacteria
Description: partial 16S ribosomal RNA
Rfam family: Bacterial small subunit ribosomal RNA
Source: RNAcentral